GGUUUCUUGAAUUAUUUAAGAGAUUUAACCUGCCCACUGAAUAUAAUUUUAAGGGCCGCAGUAUUUUGACUGUGCAAAGGUAGCAUAAUCAUUAGUCUUUUAAUUGAAGGCUUGUAUGAAUGGUUGGACGAGGUGAAUACUAUUUUAUAUUAAUUUAUAUUGAAUUUAGAUUUUAAGUAAAAAUACUUAAAUUUUAUUAAGGGACGAGAAGACCCUAUAGAGUUUAAUAUAUGUAAUUUUAAUUGAGUUAAUAAGUAAUUUUUGGUUAAUUAUAAAGUAUAUUUAAUUGGGGUGAUUUAAAGAUAUUAAAAACUCUUUUUUAAAGUGAAUCAUAAUAAUGAACUUAUUGAUCCAUUACUUAGUGAUUAUAAGAUUAAAUUACCUUAGGGAUAACAGCAUAAUUCUUUUUGAGAGUUCAUAUCGAGAAAGGAGAUUGUGACCUCGAUGUUGGAUUAAGAUAAAUUUUAGGUGUAGAUGUUUAAAUUUUAGGUCUGUUCGACCUUUAAAUUCUUACA
Molecule: ribosomal RNA, 515 nt
Filed under: Kongobatha diademata
Lineage: Eukaryota; Metazoa; Arthropoda; Insecta; Mantodea; Nanomantidae
Description: partial 16S ribosomal RNA
Rfam family: Bacterial large subunit ribosomal RNA
Source: RNAcentral